This is a non-coding RNA of Gymnothorax javanicus (giant moray), 72 nucleotides long. NCBI's taxonomy places the organism in Eukaryota, Metazoa, Chordata, Actinopteri, Anguilliformes, Muraenidae. The record is from the annotation of a GenBank genome assembly.
GCUGGAUAGCUCACUUGGUAAAGCAUCGCGUUACGAAAGUGAAUAUCGCGGGUUCGAUCCCCGCUUCGUGCC